RNAcentral lists this ribosomal RNA (930 nucleotides) under Triticum aestivum (bread wheat). RNAcentral describes it as "partial small subunit ribosomal RNA". Lineage: Eukaryota; Viridiplantae; Streptophyta; Magnoliopsida; Poales; Poaceae. The record is from RNAcentral.
AUGCCUGGAGUAAACUGUGCACGCGGCACCAAGGAAGAAGGAGCAUUUGAAGGCGCAACGAGAAGGGCUGCCGGCCGAUGGCCCAAAAUUUUUGUCACCUUGGCAAUGAUUGUCUUAUUUGUCAGGGCUGUGCAUGGAGCGGAGAUCGCAUGGGAGCACGAUGCGGUCCGUUCACAUCACACGGGGUUUCUGGGUACCACCCACACGCAGCUGAUCGAAAGUGUCGAAGAGGACUACCGCAGGAAAAUCGGCGACGUCAGCGACCUCAUGGCUCCGCAGAGGGGGUAUCACGACAAAAAAACAGUUCAACCGGCGACGUGGCUCAAACCCACAUUGAAGGGCCGGGGGGACGACAAGGUGACCUUAUGGCUCUGUAAUGACGAUUUGUAUCUUCUCGCCUUCAACACUACCAGCAACCUGCACACGGCAAAAGGGUACGACGCCUUAUUCACAGAGCCUUUCCUCCCUCUCCCCUUUGGUUCAUCGUACAAAGAGCUAAUGGGACACACUGCGCCCAAUGGAGAUCAAAGGAAUGCCCAUCUGCUUCUUGUUAGUGUUCCACUUGGUAGGGAAUCACUGCUAGAUGCCAUCCAUGUACUUAGCAACUACGACCCUGUUAACACUCCCAAGCAUGAAGUUCAGCUAGCAAUGGCCAAGAUUACACUAAUGGGGCCGGAAUCCUUAAGAUUCCAUCCCGUACGCAAUGCGUACAUUUUGGAGUGGGAAAGCGAAGAAUCAUACCUGACCUUGGAUCAGGCAAAAUAUUUGGUCAACUGGUCUUCGCUUAGUACAUUACUGGUGCAAUGGGAAGAUAGUGGCAGAAAAACAUGGCCAAGCUCCAAUGUCGCUAACAGCUUGCGCGCUGAAUUUGGUAUAAAAUCUGGGGAGUGCGCGCUCGGAGUGAUUGACCUGGUGCUGCGACCACGUUAA